GCCCUUGGCUCAGUAACACGUAGCUAACCUGCCCUAUAGUCCGUAAUAACCUCGGGAAACUGAGGGUAAUGACGGAUAAAAGAUUUAUUCUGGAAUGAUUAAUCUUUGAAAACUAACGAUAGGAUGGGGCUGCGGCCGAUUAGGUAGUUGGCGGGGUAACUGCCCACCAAGCCAAUGAUCGGUAAGGGCUCUUAGCGGAGAGGCCCUGAGAGGGAGUCUGAGACACUACUCCCAGCCCUACGGGGUGCAGCAGUCGGGAAACUUCUGCAAUGCGCGAAAGCGUGACAGAGCAAGCCAAAGUGAUUUUCCAUUAUGGAACAUCUUUUGUGAGAUGCAAAAAGUCUCACGAAUAAGGACUGGGCAAGACUGGUGCCAGCCGCCGCGGUAAUCCCAGCAGUCCAAGUCGCAACCACAUUUAUUGGGUCUAAAACAUUCGUAGCUUGCAUUGUAAGUCUUUUGUGAAAUCGGGACUCUUAAAGUUCCGGCGAGCAAAAGAUACUGCUUUGCUAGAGACCGGAAGACGUAAGGAGUACGAACGGGGUAGCGGUAAAAUGUGCUGAUCCUGUUCGGACUAACAACAGCGAAGGCACCUUACGAGCACGGAUCUGACAGCGAGGAAUGAAGGCUAGGGGCGCAAAUUGGAUUAGAUACCCAAGUAGUCCUAGCAGUAAACACUGCACACUAAACAUUGGUGCCUCUUCGAGAGG
RNAcentral lists this ribosomal RNA (707 nucleotides) under uncultured archaeon. RNAcentral describes it as "bacterial SSU rRNA". It matches the Rfam family "Archaeal small subunit ribosomal RNA", at positions 81 to 792 of the family's 1478-position model. The record is from RNAcentral.